RNAcentral lists this long non-coding RNA (1216 nucleotides) under Oryctolagus cuniculus (rabbit). RNAcentral's name for it is "lncRNA (ENSOCUG00000033034.1)". The record is from RNAcentral. Lineage: Eukaryota; Metazoa; Chordata; Mammalia; Lagomorpha; Leporidae.
AUGCAACUCUUUAGCUGUACAAUCCUUAAAUAUUUCCUGAAAGGCAGCAGAGUUGUUUAUGUGCAUUGGCUCCUGUGCCAAGCUGCCUUGGUCCAAAUGUUAACCCCAUCACUUUCUAGUUGCAAAGAACAUUCAGGUUUUCUGAACUCUAAUUUCUCUUUGUACAGAAAACAAUCUUCCUUCCAAGAAAUUCUUGAAUUAAUUAACUUAUUUUAAACACAGAAUGAUAGAGAAAGGAACACACACACACAAACAUACACACACACACAAAGAGAGAGAGAGAGAGAGAGAGAGAGAGAGAGAGAGAGAGAAGCAUCUUCCAUUUACUAUUUCAGGCCCCCAGUGACUGCAACAGUUAGGUAUGAGUUAAGGCGGAACCCAGGAACUCCAUCUAGGCCUUCCAUAUAGGUAGUAGGGGUUCAAAUACUUGGGCCAUUAUCUGCUGCAUUUACAGCUACAUUCUGAGGGAGCUGGAUCAGAAGCAGAGUACCUGGGACUAGAACUGGCACUUCCAUAUGGGAUGCCAACAUUAUAAGUAGGGACUUUACCUGCUGCACCAAAAUGGUAGCCCUUCAAGAAGUUACUUAGCCUAUAUAAGUGCUUCAUGUAGUUGGCAUACAGCAAGUACCAUAAGUUUUGCAGUUAUUAUAAUUUGAAGUAAAGAAUAAUUACUUACCCUCCAGAGUUUAUAAUUAUGAAAAAUACUAUCAGUGAAAUAUGAGGAGAUACCUGCAAUCACUGUGUUCACAUAAUACUUGGUAAAAAUGCAAGUUCCUAAUGUUGGAACUUUUCUUGCUUUUAUACUCACAUUUUCCUUCUGUAUAUUAUAUAAGAUUUUCCCAUGAAGAUGCAGUGCUAAUGACCUGGUCUCACCACUGUAGCAAUUAAAUCAUAUAACCAGAAAGCUAAUUUCAUAGCACUUUGAGAAGGUCAUUAAUUGUUGAUGUAUAUAUUUCAGAGGGAGCCAAACACUGGGCAAAGGGCAUGUGCUGAUAGUCAUGCAACAGGCAGGACUCAAAGUGAAAGUUAAAACCAAGCUUCCUCAGGAUGAAGAUAACAAUCAGAAAACUGACCCUCUAAUGUGGAGAGAAGAAAAGACCAUGUCUCUCUUAUCCUCUUCUACUAAGGAUAGAGCAGUAACAAUCUAUGUUGGAGGUUGUAGGGCACCAUGACAGCAAUUAAUUUUCUAAUAAUAUCAAAAAGUUUAGGUAGAAAA